GUUGCAAGUAGACAAAGAAGUAAAAGUAGCAGCAGCUCGUGUCAAAGUGUAUAACGAUCUUGAAGGCAUCAUUCAAUGCGGUGAUGAAGAAAUAGACUCUAGCACUCACAUUGGCUGUCAAAGGACAGAGCCCACAUUUCGACUAAACCCAGAAGCUGAAUUGUUCUUGCCUCAGCAAGCAUUCUGUGAUAAGCAUGAAGUCCAGCCAUCUCAGGAUAAUGUUGCUCUAGCUCAAGCAAUAGCAGACUCGCUAAGCACACAUCGAUUGCCUGUUCCUGAACCCACAAGCUUUGCUGGCGAUCCUUUGAAAUUCAUAGACUGGAAGAUGUCCUUCAUGGCCCUUAUUGAUCGAAAGCCCCUCCCACCUGGUGAGAAGAUGUUCUAUCUUAAGAAUUACCUCGUUGGAGAAGCUCGCAAAGCGGUGGAGGGAUAUUUCUACAGAAAUUCAGAGGACGCAUACCAAGGUGCCUGGAAAGUCUUGCAAGACAGGUAUGGGAAUUCAUUCAUACUGCAAAAGGCUUUUCGAGACAAGCUGAUGAGAUGGCCCAAAAUUGGGGUAAAUGACCCUCUCGCCCUACGAGACUUCACAGACUCCCUGCAAGGAUGUGUAGAGGCGAUUCCUCAUGUUAAAGGGCUAGCCAUUCUAAAUGACUGUGAAGAAAACCACAAGUUACUAAAGAAACUUCCUGAAUGGAUUGUGCGCAAGUGGAAUCGAAUUGUGGUGGAAAACCUAGACGCAUCAGGGGACUAUCCAAGUUUCAAGCGCUUUACAGAGUUCAUGCAAAAGGAAACCAGAAUAGCAUGUAACCCCAUCACUUCUCCACUCUUCAUGAAUCUGAAAAAUUCAGAUGAAAGGUUUCCCAAGCGAGCUAAGGCUCUGAGUACAAAGGCUGACGUGAAAGAUUUCAGCUCUAAAAGGCUUGAACCAUCCAGCUCUAAGUCAAAGGUAUCAUGCUUCGCCUGUAAAGAUGAAAAACACAGCAUUGCCCAAUGUCCUACAUUUGCAGAAAGAACCACUGAAGACAAGAAGACCUUCAUUCAAGAAAAUCACCUCUGCUUUGGGUGUCUCAGGAAAGGGCAUAUCGUUAAAGAUUGCAAAAGACGGCAUAAAUGUGGAACAUGUGGCCGCAAUCACCCUACCUGCUUGCAUGAAGAAAGAGAUAAAGUGCCUACGAAAGCAUUAAAGAAAACUUCCAUAGAAGUUCAAGCAAGUCAGGAAGUUCACAAAGUCAUGGCCCAUGCACUCACACAAAGUUCUUCUGCUACUUCCAGUAUCGUGCCAGUCCUCAUUUCUACAGAGGAAGAGCCACAGAGAGAAGUACUCACUUAUGCUCUACUGGACACGCAGAGCGACUCAACGUUCAUUUUGGAAGAUCUUCUUGAUGACUUAAAUGCAAUCACUCAACCAGUGCAGCUUAGACUCAGCACCAUGACAGCUGUUGACACCAUCACUGCAAGUAAAAGGGUUCGUGGUCUGCAAGUUCGAGGACUUCAAGCAGCAAACUCUAUUCAUCUACAGCAAGCAUAUACUAGAGACUUCAUUCCUGUUGACAAGUCCUAUAUUCCAACCAAGAGGACAGCACUGCAGUGGCCUCACCUCAAACAUUUGGCCAAUCAAUUGCCACCACUUCAGAACUGUGAAGUCGGACUGUUAAUCGGAUAUGACUGCCCAUCAGCUCUUGCUCCCCUCAAAGUCAUACUAGGUGGUGAAAAUGAACCAUUUGCACAAAGAACUGAGCUUGGCUGGAGUAUUAUAGGCCUCUCCAAUCCACACUUAGACAGACAGGGAAAUCAGAGCUUCGUCCAUAGAGUUGCAGUUAAAGAAAUACCUGUCCCAUCACCCAACGAUGUCUUGAGAAUUCUAGAGUCAGAUUUCAACGAGAAAGGUUAUGAGGAUAAAAGUGUGUCUCAAGAGGAUGUUCGUUUCAUACAGCAUCUCAGUGCCAAUAUCAAACAGAAAAAUAAUGGACAUUAUGAACUUCCUCUCCCUUUCAAGUGUAUCGGCCGACCCUCACUACCAAAUAACAAAAGGCUAGCAGCUGCCCGCUUGCAGCAUUUGAAGAAAAGACUCAAGUCUAACCAGCAAUAUUGUGAUCACUACAAGGCCUUCAUGGAGGAGAUCAUUUACAAAGGUGAUGCUGAACCAGCCCCAGUGAUACCCGAAGGAGAGUCUGUAUGGUAUUCCACACCAUGGGGUGUACCACCCUCAGAAACCAGAUAAGCUGAGGGUUGUGUUCGAUUGUUCAGCUAAGUUUUGCGGUAUAUCUCUAAAUGGCACACUUCUGACCGGGCCUGACCUAAUUAACUCAUUAGUGGGAGUAUUCUGCCGCUUCAGAAAGGAACUAGUCGCAGUCACCUGUGACAUAGAAAAGAUGUUUCACCAGUUCUUCGUCCCUUCAGACGAUCGCAAUUAUCUAAGGUUUCUAUGGUGGGAGGGUGGAGACUUGGAGAAAGAGCCUCAAGACUAUCGUAUGGCAGUUCAUCUCUUCCGCGCUACAUCGUCUCAUGGGUGUGCUAAUUUCGGCCUGAAGUACCUGGCGCAGCAGCAAAAAGUUAAUCACCCAUCAGCAUCAGAGUUUGUUGAAAGGAACUUCUAUGUAGAUGAUGGGUUAACCAGUGUUCGUUCAGUCGAUGAAGCCAAAGAACUGAUCAUUGAUGCUCAAGCGCUGUGUAAACACGGA
This 2681-nucleotide long non-coding RNA is filed under the name Sinocyclocheilus grahami. RNAcentral's name for it is "lncRNA (ENSSGRG00000002096.1)". The record is from RNAcentral. Lineage: Eukaryota; Metazoa; Chordata; Actinopteri; Cypriniformes; Cyprinidae.